This 1264-nucleotide long non-coding RNA is filed under the name Junco hyemalis (dark-eyed junco). Its description in RNAcentral is "lncRNA (ENSJHYG00000004553.1)". The record is from RNAcentral. Lineage: Eukaryota; Metazoa; Chordata; Aves; Passeriformes; Passerellidae.
AGGCGGCGCUGGCUGCCUGCCGGCGCCCAAACCCUCUCUCCUCCCCACUCCUUAACCACCGGCCCAGCCAGUAUCGCCCAUCCCAAGCCCUGCGAGGAACCAGUUGGGAACCGGUCCUGUAAUGAGGCGCUCUGGGUGCAGGGCCCGGCUGGGGUGGCUUUAAAAGGGAGCGCCGGGACGCGGGCCCGGCUCCGGCUCUCGGCGAUGUGGGGCAGCUCCCGCGCCGGCUGGAAGAGGAGGUUCAGCUGCUAUGGUCCCUGCGAGUCGGCCGAGAGCUGCAUCGUGCGCACCUCCGCCAGCGUCUACCGCCGGCUGCAGGAGAGCCCGCGGCAGCCCCGGCGGGGAAUGAGCACCCGCGGGCCCCCCAGCAGCCCCCCGGCCGCAGGGAGACCCCCCAGGUCCGAAUCCGAGGAUUCCGGCGUGGAGACGGCCAGCACCGAGCACUCGCCCCGCAGCCCGCUGGGCUCCGAGAGCCGCUUCUCCCUGGAUGGUUUCCCGUUGGAGCAGCCCCCCGGAGAUGAGGAGCAGCCCCCCAAGAGCCGCCCGGCCAGCCGGAGGCUGCUGCAGGCAGCGCAGCGGAGCCGGAGGCAGCGCUGCCCGCGACAGCUCAGCCGGCGCAGCGCCAGCGCCGCCGACCUGGCCGAGCCCCCCCGGGACCCCGAGAGGGCCGAGGGGUCUCCUCGGGACCCCCGGGCCGUGCCCGAGCUGCCGGGGCAGGGGCUGCGCUACCUGGAGCACGUGUGCCAGAUGCUGGAGCGCCUGGCGCGGCUGCAGCAGGACAACCGCGCCCUGCGGCAGCAGGCGGCCGGAGCCCGCACGGCCACCCUGCCCGGCCGGCAGCACCCGAGGAGGGAUUUGGGCACCUGGAGGGGUGAAGGGUUCCGGCAGCGCUCCUGCUCCGACAGCCAGGCGCCAGCAGCCGAGCCCGGGCCGUGCCGGCGGCUCUGGGGACACUCGGUCAGCUCCCCCAGCCUGCUGGAGCCCGCCGAGGGCGGCGCGGCUGGCCCGGCACCGGACAAGGACGGCCGCUCGCACUGGGGCCGGGUGAAGGUGCUGCUCACCCGCCUGACCCGCCGCUCCCUGCGCGGCAGCCGCUGCAGGUAGGACCGAGGGGUCCCGCUCGCUCCCACCGCCACACCUGGAUGGAGGAACUACGUCACACCUCACCCCAUGACGUCACGCCAGCACGGGGCCGGUCCCCGGCCUGGCGCGCCCCUUCACGUUUUUUGUUUUUCCCUCAAUAAAGUAUUUUCACCCACAAACA